Molecule: transfer RNA, 68 nt
Filed under: Lymantria mathura (rosy gypsy moth)
Lineage: Eukaryota; Metazoa; Arthropoda; Insecta; Lepidoptera; Erebidae
Also listed under: 1 other name
Description: tRNA-Trp
Source: RNAcentral
AAGGUUUUAAGUUAAAAAAACUAAUAAUCUUCAAAAUUAUAUAUAAAGAAAUUAUUCUUUAAGCCUUA